This is a non-coding RNA of Larimichthys crocea (large yellow croaker), 84 nucleotides long. NCBI's taxonomy places the organism in Eukaryota, Metazoa, Chordata, Actinopteri, Sciaenidae. The record is from Rfam.
UAAGUUCUGGACCUGGCAUACAGUGUAGGAUUCUGUGUGUGUCAGUCUACAGCUACAUUGUCUGCUGGGUUUCAGGCCUAUACU